CCCCUGAAGGGCCGUUGAAGACCACAACGUUGAUAGGCGGGGUGUGGAAGCUGCCGUAAGGCGUGAAGCUAACCCGUACUAAUUGCCCGUGAGGCUUGACCAUAUAAC
Molecule: ribosomal RNA, 108 nt
Filed under: Alcanivorax xiamenensis
Lineage: Bacteria; Pseudomonadati; Pseudomonadota; Gammaproteobacteria; Oceanospirillales; Alcanivoracaceae
Description: Alcanivorax sp. 6-D-6 partial 23S ribosomal RNA
Rfam family: Bacterial large subunit ribosomal RNA
Source: RNAcentral